Molecule: long non-coding RNA, 205 nt
Filed under: Setaria viridis
Lineage: Eukaryota; Viridiplantae; Streptophyta; Magnoliopsida; Poales; Poaceae
Description: long non-coding RNA (SVIR_LNC007819)
Source: RNAcentral
AAAUAAAACAGCAUAUCAGAAAAGGUUAAAUUAGACAAAAAACACUGUUGCGUAGUACAUGAUUAAUUAAACUCCAUGCAUAGUUAGCUGUGAGGUACAACCCUACCGAACAAAAAAAAUGAAAUUAGCUGAAACAUCAACGAUUACAAGAGAGUUGCAUAAAAAAUUAUGAAAGCUUAACAAAAUUGAUUUCAGUUAUUUAAUU